RNAcentral lists this ribosomal RNA (903 nucleotides) under Triticum aestivum (bread wheat). RNAcentral's name for it is "partial small subunit ribosomal RNA". The record is from RNAcentral. Lineage: Eukaryota; Viridiplantae; Streptophyta; Magnoliopsida; Poales; Poaceae.
AUGGAGAGGAUGCAGCUGCAAGGCCCCAUCAUCACCUCCCUGUGCUGGGCGGACCAGGCGGCGGCAAGCGCCAGCGCGGCGCAGGUGCCUUUCUUGGCGCUGCUCCAGGGCGCCGCCAUGGGGGACGGCGGACCAGGGGUGAAGCGGGAGUCUUACGGCGCCGCCGCGUGCCGGCCGGCUGCGUCCGACGUCGACCUUCUCGAGAGCUGCGUCACGCAGCUGCCGGUUCCCCCGGUGGUCGAGGCGCCGGCGGCGAAGCGGAGGAAGCGGCCGCGGGCGCGCCCGCGCGCGCCUCCGCCGGAGAAGCGCAAGAAGCCGGAGGAGGCCGAGUGCCAGCGGAUGACGCACAUCGCCGUCGAGCGCAACCGCCGCCGCCUCAUGAACGACCACCUCGCCUCCCUCCGCGCCCUCAUCCCCUCGGAUUACAUCCCACGAGGUGACCAAGCGACGGUGGUGGGGGGAGCCAUCGACUACGUGAAGCAGCUGGAGCAGCAGCUGGUGGCGCUGCAGGCGUUGGCGGCGGCGCAGCGCGGCGAGGGGCCCGUUGGGACGGCGGCCACAGCGGCGUCGGACGGCGUGUUCGUGUCGCCGCAGUACACGAGCUUCUCCCAGGCCGGCGGCGUCGGCAGCGGCGUGGACGUGGAGGCGAUGGCCGCGGUGGGGGGCCACGUGCGGCUGCGCGUCGCGGGGAGGCGGUGGCCAGGGCGGCUCGUGCGCGCCGUGGCCGCCAUGGAGAACCUGCGCAUGGCCGUGCUGCACCUCGCCGUCACCUCCGUGGGCCACGACGCCGUCGUCUACUGCUUCAACCUUAAGAUGGAGGACGGGUGCGAGGUGUCGACGGCGGACGAGGUGGCCACGGUGGUGCACCAGAUCUUCGCCUACGCCGCCGGCUCAUGCUGCUAG